GAACUGCGAUAAGUAAUGUGGAUUGCAGAAUUCAGUGAAUCAUCGAGUCUUUGAACGCACAUUGCGCCCCCUGGCAUUCCGGGGGGCAUGCCUGUCCGAGCGUCAUUGCUGCCCUUCAAGCCCGGCUUGUGUGUUGGGUCGUCGUCCCCUCCGGGGGACGGGCCCGAAAGGCAGCGGCGGCACCGCGUCCGGUCCUCGAGCGUAUGGGGCUUUGUCACCCGCUCGAUAAGGACCGGCCGGGCGCCAGCCGGCGUCUCCAACCUUUUUUUCUCAGGUUGACCUCGGAUCAGGUAGGGAUACCCGCUGAACUUAAGC
This 315-nucleotide unclassified non-coding RNA is filed under the name plant metagenome. RNAcentral's name for it is "partial contains 5.8S ribosomal RNA, internal transcribed spacer 2, and large subunit ribosomal RNA". The stretch from base 1 to 105 matches the Rfam family "5.8S ribosomal RNA", at positions 50 to 154 of the family's 154-position model. The record is from RNAcentral.